CGCGGGGUAGAGCAGUUGGUAGCUCGCCGGGCUCAUAACCCGGAGGUCGUGGGUUCAAGUCCCACCCCCGCAACCA
RNAcentral lists this transfer RNA (76 nucleotides) under Campylobacterota bacterium. Its description in RNAcentral is "Epsilonproteobacteria bacterium (hydrothermal vent metagenome) tRNA-Met". It matches the Rfam family "tRNA". From Rfam's summary of the family: Transfer RNA (tRNA) molecules are approximately 80 nucleotides in length. Their secondary structure includes four short double-helical elements and three loops (D, anti-codon, and T loops). The record is from RNAcentral. Lineage: Bacteria; Pseudomonadati; Campylobacterota.